RNAcentral lists this ribosomal RNA (176 nucleotides) under uncultured bacterium. Its description in RNAcentral is "partial 16S ribosomal RNA". It matches the Rfam family "Bacterial small subunit ribosomal RNA", at positions 601 to 776 of the family's 1533-position model. The record is from RNAcentral.
CCCUCGGCUUAACUGAGGAAAUGCAACUAAAACUGAUUUUCUUGAGUACUGGAGAGGAAAGUGGAAUUCCUAGUGUAGCGGUGAAAUGCGUAGAUAUUAGGAGGAACACCAGUGGCGAAGGCGGCCUGCUGGACGAUGACUGACGUUGAGGCUCGAAAGCGUGGGGAGCAAACAGG